UUGCUGCAGGCCAGUCACAAACUAAUGAGACUCUCACUCUCUCCAUUAGUAAAACGGAGAUUCAGACCCAUCAGGACAGUCCCAAAAUGACCACACAACUGACCACAUAAAAUAAGAAUUCAGCAACAUCAGAAUGAGAGCACGGGGUCUGAAUCGGGCUGGAUGCUCAGCAGCCACCGAAGAGUUGAGCGCAUCUCUUUUGGCACACUGACAGGACAUAGCAAGGGAGCAGUGAUAAAUCCAUCACGUUUGUCAAAUGGAAAGGUACAGAAGGACGUGCUCUGUAGAUUAUUCCAGCAGAUAAGUUUCUUUCUGAGAAACAAGCUCAACCAGGAGAUGUUGCCAUGAAAUCUGGACCUUUUAAGCACAGCAAGCAGCAGGUCUGUUUUAUCUGGUGAGAGCACAGCAUGAAGUGGGCUGCUGAGACUACUGGCAUCCAGCAUGACGCCCUCUACAGUCCCAGGCAAUGCAGUGAGUAAAUGGCUCUUGGCACAGGCUGGCUUUUGCUGUGCUGCGGGUGGUAACCUAUUGUCUGAAGUGGGUUCUUCAUCUACUGACCUUUCCAGCAGCUGUUCUGGAAUAGCACAGAAGUGAUGAAAUCAAUGGGAAUGUUACAAAAGCACAGCUUCCACCGUAUGUUUCCUGGAGCUUGCUCUGACACCAGUAUGCCAUGUGUCCUACUCUCCCCAUGUUGCCACACAAACCUCGCGAUGCCUUGGCUCUCUGCACAGUCCUGAAACUGUUGUACACAUUGCUGGGGAUCCUACUUUCACAUGGGAGCCGCUUCUGAAAAAUCCCUAAUGCUAAGGGUACAGCUGCUUGCAGCCACAGCACUCAGAAGAGGCACGAUAUUUUUCAUAAUUUGCGGACCAUGUAUGCAUACUUUAGACAUUUCUCUAUCUGCAGAACAUGUGGAUCUGAACUCUGUCUCCCACUGUACAUUCCAGUGCCUGAAUGUUAAGGGUUCCUCUUCUCAGUCAACCAGUGCAAUGUAUGGACCAGAUCUCUGUGCUGAGUCUAAAAUAAUCUAUUUGGUUCUAUCUCCACCCUACUAAGUAACUGUAGAUGAGAUGCAUUAAUGGUCUUUGCCUCACUUUUUUUUCUCUGUAAAACUGUGGUAGUGAUCCUGGUUUAUUUGUAGAAAACAAAGUUCAACUGAUGAGAAGAGCUAUCAAAGAGCUAAGUGUUGUCAUUACCUGAGCGAUCUUUUCAUUUCUCCAUUAAUCUUGUAAAAGACACAAGUACUCUGCUUACCAAACCUCAUCUACAAGACGGUACAAUGGUGAGGACUCAUUACAAAUUAUAGAAAAAAAAUUCUGGAAAACAGAUCCUUUUGUCUUGCCCCAGUGGUGCCAAUUGGACUAGGAGGCUUUUUAAAAUGAGAAUUUAUCUUUACAAAGAUUUGUAGCCAAGCCUUUCCAGUUUGUUAAAAUGUAAUUAAUGUCUGCUUGUUAAUAUGAUGUUCAUUGAUUUUUAAAGUACACAGACUUCAAAGCAGAAAAUAAAUAAAUAAAAAGAGAGAUAAUUCAAAC
Long non-coding RNA from Gallus gallus (chicken), 1532 nucleotides. The record is from Ensembl. NCBI's taxonomy places the organism in Eukaryota, Metazoa, Chordata, Aves, Galliformes, Phasianidae.